Small nuclear RNA from Alnus glutinosa, 118 nucleotides. RefSeq annotates it as U4 spliceosomal RNA. The transcript has a single exon. The record is from RefSeq and is a predicted model, not a curated record. Lineage: Eukaryota; Viridiplantae; Streptophyta; Magnoliopsida; Fagales; Betulaceae.
AAAAUUGUGCUUGGGGCAAUGACGCAGCUAGUGAGGUUCUAAUCGAGGCGCGUCUAUUGCUGGUUGAAUACUAUUUCCAACCCCCCCUCUCAUGCCAAUGUGUUUACUUAUCAAUAAA